This is a long non-coding RNA of Sarcophilus harrisii (Tasmanian devil), 230 nucleotides long. RefSeq lists it as uncharacterized. The transcript has 3 exons. Lineage: Eukaryota; Metazoa; Chordata; Mammalia; Dasyuromorphia; Dasyuridae. The record is from RefSeq and is a predicted model, not a curated record.
CUCACCUGAAUUCUGAUUUUCAGGACAAUCUUUCUUAAAAUGUUCCACAGAACCACAAAGUCUACAACCACCACCUGUUGAAGUUCUCACCUUCAGCAUAAAGUCCUUUAGGAUUAUCAGGACAAGAUCUAGAUAGAUGUCCCAUCUCUCCACAAAUGAAACAUUUUGCAAAAGGAAAUUCUCCUGUAAAGCCUUGCACACCCUUGUCCUGGGAGUUCAUCAUAUUGGUA